AGCAGUAGCAUCACAUAUGCUUGGGGAGACUGAGUAGAACAUCUCCUGUGACGUGCCUCACCCCAUCUUUCCACCCAAAAUUGAAGACAAUCUGAUAUGCUGAUGAUGGCUACACGUAGAGUGCCUGGAUUCAUCUGCAUUGAAACUCCUUGAGAAUUUUGAUAGGUUGAGCCAAAACAGAAUAAUGAAAUGAACCCUUCUAGGCAGGAAGGCAGAAACAGACAUAAAAGAUGAUUUCUCUGUGUUAUCUGGCCUUUAUGGAAAGAACCAUGAUGAGCUUCCAGAAAAUGCAUUAUUGAUGUGAUGUAAUAAGGCAGGGGUUUUAACAUCUUCAUCCUGGAAAAUUGGAGUCCUUCCCAUGGAAUGUGUGUGUUGAGCUUAGCAGAGACAGCCCUUUCCACUCUGGAGGUAAGACUGGGAAAAUUUGAGUCCAGAGCCCUCUGCUGCCUCUGGGCCCACUGCCUGUCCAAACACACCUGCAGGAGGAAAGAAGGACCCUGUUACAAACAAGAGAAGAAGAGGAGAUCAAAGCAGCUGCAUCAUCUCAUUAACCUUCACCCCCAGAGAAGAUGGCAAGGAAAACUUAGAAACAAACAAAAUCAAGCCACUCUUCCUGCCUUCAGUGGAGCUUCAAACCAGAGGAUGUUACCUGGAACACACUGGAGAGUCAUAACCUUGGAGUUCACAUUAAAGACGUCAGUCCCAGGAAACUCCUACUCACCCAGCUUGAAUUCACCAGGGGAAGGCUGAAUGAGGACACAGUGAGAAGAUGGGAAGGUGGUCUCACCACAACCCAAUCCAACAGCACCUUGAUCUUGGAUACACAGCCCCCAGAACUUCAGGACAAUAGAUGGAUUUCUGUUGUUUAAGCCACCCAGUCUGUAGUCAUUUGUGAUGACAGCCUUAGCCAACUCAUAUAAACCAUAGAGGCCUAAACAGGUCCACUCAACGACUGAGAGAAAUUGCAAUGCAGUAAAACUCCCCAUAAGCUUCUUCAGAGGAAGACAUUUCUGGGACACCUUUUGCCCCAAAGAUUAUUCCUCACUCACUGACCUCUGGGUUUCAAGGAGAAGCUCCCUUCCUGCUGAUUUUAAGCAUCCCAUAGUAUGACAAUCAUCGACAGGAAAGAUAUUGUCUAAU
Molecule: long non-coding RNA, 1140 nt
Filed under: Bos indicus x Bos taurus (hybrid cattle)
Lineage: Eukaryota; Metazoa; Chordata; Mammalia; Artiodactyla; Bovidae
Description: lncRNA (ENSBIXG00000003210.1)
Source: RNAcentral